This 253-nucleotide ribosomal RNA is filed under the name uncultured bacterium. Its description in RNAcentral is "partial 16S ribosomal RNA". It matches the Rfam family "Bacterial small subunit ribosomal RNA", at positions 524 to 776 of the family's 1533-position model. The record is from RNAcentral.
UACGUAGGCAGCGAGCGUUGUUCGGAGUUACUGGGCGUAAAGAGUGCGUAGGCGGCUGUCUAAGUUUGGUGUGAAAUCUCCCGGCUUAACCGGGAGGGUGCGCCGAAGACUGGGGGACUGGAGUAUGGGAGAGGUAAGUGGAAUUCCUGGUGUAGCGGUGAAAUGCGUAGAUAUCAGGAGGAACACCUGCGGUGUAGACGGCUUACUGGACCAUAACUGACGCUGAGGCACGAAAGCGUGGGUAGCAAACAGG